CGGGGUGCAGCUCAGCGUGGUAGAGUGCUUGAAUGGGGUUCAAGAAGCCGCAGGUGCGACUCCUGUCACUCCGACCA
This 77-nucleotide transfer RNA is filed under the name Tissierellia bacterium. Its description in RNAcentral is "tRNA-Pro". It matches the Rfam family "tRNA". From Rfam's summary of the family: Transfer RNA (tRNA) molecules are approximately 80 nucleotides in length. The record is from RNAcentral. Lineage: Bacteria; Bacillati; Bacillota; Tissierellia.